This 1439-nucleotide ribosomal RNA is filed under the name uncultured organism. Its description in RNAcentral is "16S ribosomal RNA". It matches the Rfam family "Bacterial small subunit ribosomal RNA". The record is from RNAcentral.
GCUUAACACAUGCAAGUCGAACGGAAAGGCCCUGCUUUUGUGGGGUGCUCGAGUGGCGAACGGGUGAGUAACACGUGAGUAACCUGCCCUUGACUUUGGGAUAACUUCAGGAAACUGGGGCUAAUACCGGAUAGGAGCUCCUGCUGCAUGGUGGGGGUUGGAAAGUUUCGGCGGUUGGGGAUGGACUCGCGGCUUAUCAGCUUGUUGGUGGGGUAGUGGCUUACCAAGGCUUUGACGGGUAGCCGGCCUGAGAGGGUGACCGGCCACAUUGGGACUGAGAUACGGCCCAGACUCCUACGGGAGGCAGCAGUGGGGAAUAUUGCACAAUGGGCGGAAGCCUGAUGCAGCAACGCCGCGUGCGGGAUGACGGCCUUCGGGUUGUAAACCGCUUUCGCCUGUGACGAAGCGUGAGUGACGGUAAUGGGUAAAGAAGCACCGGCUAACUACGUGCCAGCAGCCGCGGUGAUACGUAGGGUGCGAGCGUUGUCCGGAUUUAUUGGGCGUAAAGGGCUCGUAGGUGGUUGAUCGCGUCGGAAGUGUAAUCUUGGGGCUUAACCCUGAGCGUGCUUUCGAUACGGGUUGACUUGAGGAAGGUAGGGGAGAAUGGAAUUCCUGGUGGAGCGGUGGAAUGCGCAGAUAUCAGGAGGAACACCAGUGGCGAAGGCGGUUCUCUGGGCCUUUCCUGACGCUGAGGAGCGAAAGCGUGGGGAGCGAACAGGCUUAGAUACCCUGGUAGUCCACGCUGUAAACGGUGGGUACUAGGUGUGGGGUCCAUUCCACGGGUUCCGUGCCGUAGCUAACGCUUUAAGUACCCCGCCUGGGGAGUACGGCCGCAAGGCUAAAACUCAAAGGAAUUGACGGGGCCCCGCACAAGCGGCGGAGCAUGCGGAUUAAUUCGAUGCAACGCGUAGAACCUUACCUGGGUUUGACAUGGAUCGGGAGUGCUCAGAGAUGGGUGUGCCUCUUUUGGGGUCGGUUCACAGGUGGUGCAUGGCUGUCGUCAGCUCGUGUCGUGAGAUGUUGGGUUAAGUCCCGCAACGAGCGCAACCCUUGUUCACUGUUGCCAGCACGUUAUGGUGGGGACUCAGUGGAGACCGCCGGGGUCAACUCGGAGGAAGGUGGGGAUGACGUCAAGUCAUCAUGCCCCUUAUGUCCAGGGCUUCACGCAUGCUACAAUGGCUGGUACAGAGAGUGGCGAGCCUGUGAGGGUGAGCGAAUCUCGGAAAGCCGGUCUCAGUUCGGAUUGGGGUCUGCAACUCGACCUCAUGAAGUCGGAGUCGCUAGUAAUCGCAGAUCAGCAACGCUGCGGUGAAUACGUUCCCGGGGCUUGUACACACCGCCCGUCAAGUCAUGAAAGUUGGUAACACCCGAAGCCGGUGGCCUAACCGUUGUGGGGGAGCCGUCGAAGGUGGGACUGGUGAUUAGGACUAAGUCAUAAC